CGCACAUUGCGCCUUUUGGUAUUCCGAAAGGCAUGCCUGUUUGAGUGUCAUGCUCACUCUCAUACCUAGUCUUCUAUGUAUGAGCUUUGGACGUUGCCAUCUGUGGCUCGUCUUAAAUGACUAAGUGGAAUGCGUAAUAAGUUUUCGCUCCCUCCACUCUAAUAACUUUUAUGUUAGACCUCAAAUCAGGUAGGACUACCCGCUGAACUUAA
RNAcentral lists this unclassified non-coding RNA (212 nucleotides) under Hannaella phetchabunensis. RNAcentral's name for it is "partial contains 5.8S ribosomal RNA, internal transcribed spacer 2, and large subunit ribosomal RNA". Lineage: Eukaryota; Fungi; Basidiomycota; Tremellomycetes; Tremellales; Bulleribasidiaceae. The record is from RNAcentral.